This 72-nucleotide transfer RNA is filed under the name Loxodonta africana (African savanna elephant). It matches the Rfam family "tRNA". From Rfam's summary of the family: Transfer RNA (tRNA) molecules are approximately 80 nucleotides in length. Their secondary structure includes four short double-helical elements and three loops (D, anti-codon, and T loops). The record is from Rfam by way of RNAcentral. Lineage: Eukaryota; Metazoa; Chordata; Mammalia; Proboscidea; Elephantidae.
GCCCUGGUGGCAUAACAGUUAAGCACUUGGCUGCUAACCAGAAGGUUGGUGGUUCAAAUCCAUUCAGCAGCU